AUUCAUAAUUUAGAAAUAAAAAAGACUAUACCUUUCUUGGGCAACAGUGUCCCAAAUCCUAGUGAGAAUUAUUUUUCGUAAAUCUUCACUGAAGAUUGGAUUUUCCAACACCAGAACCAUCUAAUAAAGAGAUGAUCAAGACUCAGUUCCAGUGCUAGCUCAGGAUCAAGAUACAACCCAACCUUUUCCUUUUCAUGCGACGACCUCACCUUCUUUUCCCUCCACACCUUUUUUCUCAUCACAAAAUUGAGGAGUGCUACAAUGCUAGCAUAUAUAUAACAAGAACUAUUCGCAAAGCGAGGGUAGAUAGUUUUUACAGAGCAUGGAUGCUAUGGGAAAAACCUACACUUACUAGCUAUGAUAGCAAAGGAGAGUCGUAAUACAGAGAAGGGUGUGAAUGCUCUUAGCUAAUGUGAGUAGGUAAAUAUUCGAAUACCUUACCAAACGUCAUCUGAUCACACGGAUCAUAUGACAUCAAUCACGGAUUAUAAUUACAAGACAAAGAUUGAAAGCGGCAGGACAACGCCCAUGCCCGCCCUCUCGGCGUUCCUGCGUUACCCCCAGAAAGGCCGAAACGGAUUUCGAAAAAGUUCCUCAAUCAGAGAAAUCUCCGGACGAAUCUAGAACUUUCUAGAAUUUGACGACGGUGUUCUUUCUGCUUCUGGGCGGCUUUGUGAAGUUAUUUGCCUCAGAUUUGGAUCGAAUUGCAGUGUAGAAUGUGCCUGGUGAAUGUUCUCUUGUUGAUUUUCUAAGGUUUCGUCAUUGAUUUUCAGAUUCUCAAAGCACAGUGAAUUGUAGCUAUUGGAUGUAUUGGACUGGUGAAAGCUGUGAUCUUUAGUCUUUUAUAUGGCAGAUUAAACUGAACCCGAACCUCAACAGAGCGAAGCAGGUAUGCAUUUUUGUUUGUCAAAGCUCAUCUCUUUGUUUGCUUUUUUCAACUUUACCUGCUAUCGGUUGCGUUAAUGUUUACAUAUAUGCAUAUGCAAAUGGCAUUUGCAGUGUGCAAUUUUUUCAUGAAGUCUAUUUUUCAGUAGUUCCUCAAAACUCGAUGUAUCUGUCUGAGCUAUCUUUUUAGAAAACAAUCCGAUUCAUUAGAGAGUAUGUUUGCAAUUAAUAAAAUAGGGGCUUCUUUUAAGUGUAUUGGUCAAGAGUUUCAAACUUUUGUAGUUUUACAUUGCUAGUCAGGAGUUUCAAGCUUUUGUAGUUUUACAUUGCACUUUAUACUUUGUAGUAGUGAUACUGAGGACAUUAGAGUUGUUCUAUUUACAAAAUUUAGAUCUUGGAUUACAUCGAGUGGCCUAAAAUUUGUUCAGUGACUUUUUUUAACAAAUUUAAUUUUCUUUGAUUGUGAUUUUUGAGUUGUUGGUCAUUAGUUUUGUAACCCUUGAUGCAGCCGUGCAGCUUAGAAUAUAAAUCUGAAAUAAUUAAUAGCUGUGAGCGUAGCCUGGUAAGUCAAUAUUGUGAAGAGCAAAAAAAAGAACGAAUGCAUAGAAUAUUGCAGUAUCUUUGCUACAAGAAAUAUUGGAUUUCACCAAGGCGUUAUUCAAUGAGGACGAAUGAUAAGUACAGAUGCAAGAGUUUAUUGGCUUUACAUAUUGACUGUAUGUACAAACAGAUGAAAGGAGAAACAGAAAAUUCUCUCGUCAGUGUCUUGUGCAUAUCUAACCAGGGGAGAACCCUGCAAAAGAGCUUCAGACACGAGUCAUGACUUCCUUGGUCCCUAGCACACUCUUUUCCAGAGUGUUUUCAUGGUUCCAUGAAUGUGGAGACGGUGAGGCCAGCAAUGGCCACAAUUGAUUCCUCUGCUCUUGUACUUUACGAACCAUCUUUAAGUUUUGCCUUAUAACCUUGUUCACUGCGUUUAGGUAGUUGCUUGAGUCAUGGUCUCUUAAAAUUGUACCUUCUGAGCCGUAGGCUUUAGGAUCACUAAGAGUUUCCAGUGGGUGGGGACAAUUCAGGAAUGCCUUUAUGGCACUUGCAGAGAACCCAUAUUGGGUUUUGUUGAAAGCAUACAGUGCACUGCCUGGAGGCAGUAAAGGGUGUGGAGGAGAUGACUUCUCAUCAGGUUGGAGUAUGAAUAAUUUCCCAAGUGGAGAGUACAAAAAUUUCUGCAUAAAAACAUCAGAGAAAGUGAAUGAGAAAUAUGACGAACUUCCUUUGUAUUUUUUACUUUUUUAUGGAUCUAAACUUGAGAUUGGUUUUGAGUUUUAUAGAACAAAUGUAGGCAUCUAUGAACUUUAAAAAGAAAUUAGGUACAUGAUACAUUUGGAAUGAGCCUUUGGAUGGAGGUCGAAUUUGAGGGAUGUCAUGAAGUAGAUAGUCAAAACUCUUUAGUUAGACAAUGCAAGUCUGAGCAAAUAAUGUAUGGGAUGGUUUGAGAAUUGAAAGUUGGAAUUGAUCAAAUAUAUACUUACAUUCUUAAUUAGACAAGGGUGUGACUGGAAGGAGCCACUUAAUCGCAUGAGGACUAGUGCCACAUGGUUGGGGUAGUUGCAGGAGAAAGCUCUUGGGACAAUAUCUCUAUGCAUCACUACACAAUGUACAUGGUUGUCAUCCAACCCCAAAUGAUUUAGGAUUUUUUGGCCUCCACAGAAUACAAAUGGUGAGCCAAAAGUGACCACUGGCCUAAGAGUGGAGGGCUUGACAAACUUUCUGGUUAGUAGCAUCAAGUGAACUAAAAGAGAGAGGCUACCCCCUAGAGAAUGGCCAGUAAAUUGAAGCUUAGCACGCUUUCCAUACUUGUUCAAGUGUUCCAUAAUUUCUGGCACGAACUGGUCAUAAAUUCCCUUUGCCGCUUCAUAAAUUCCUCUGUGGACAAGCACAUCUGUACCCUGUCAAACACAGUAUUUAAUCAAUGGUACAGGUCUUUCUACUGUUAGAAUAUGGUCUAUCUUUUCCUCAGAAGGACUCUUUUCGAGUUGCGAGAGUUUGCAGUCAAUACUUACCUCAAACUUAGCUGGUUCAAAUAGGAGGUUUGCCUGCCAAGAUGCAAGGGAGUCAGAUCCCUGCAAUUUUGAAACAUGAAAACAAGUUCAAGGCCUAUCAGUUUUGGGUCUUCCUUUCAGAAAUAGAAUAUCAUGUUUAAUGUGAAAACUGUGACGUGAUUUCUUUUUAUUUGUUUCUAGAGCCUAGGAAUAUGUUACAUAACAUACAGAAUGAAAUGAAUGAUGAAGGAAUUAUUUACCUGGAUCACAAAGCAUCGUGUGUACGUCCUUAUGUCAUCACAAACAAACCAUUCACAAGGUGCCGAGUGAAGUGACUGAAGGUCCCUUGCUGCCUCCUGUUUUUCCUUCUCCCCAGCUGCAACCACUGCUGUCAUAGUUGAAGCUGCAACGUAAGCAGCCACCUCUGAUUUUUUAUAUACUCGUUGAGAUCUCUCACAAUCUUCAACUGGUCGGUCUCUGUCCUCAACUGGUUGGUUUCCAGUACUGCUUGAAUCAGCACACUCACCUUCCUGCUGAGGUUGAGCGCCAUGACAAAGAAGGCCUCGUGCAUGUGAUUGGACAUAAGAUGCUGCUGAGGCAGCAAUCCCAUAAGCAACAGAUGACCGUAUUGGGUGCUUCUGCUCAGGUUCCUCUGUGUUCUGCGGGUUGGAUUUGGCAACUACAGAAGCAGCUGCCGGGACGUGAGUAGAGUCCUGAUCGAGCUUCUCUUUCAUGGCAGCAGCCUCCGCCUUCUUCUCUAAAGAAGAUGUUACAAAGUGUAGGCCAUGAUAUCUCCUCAAAUCCAUGGCCUGCGUAUCAAUGGAUGAAUUGCUUGUGUUAGAAGCAUUUGUAUUUAUACUCGCUUUAGGCUGGCAAUGCAUGUCUGGGGAUGAUGAACGAAGUAGAUUAGUGAUUUCUAUGCUUUGAAUCACAUAAUGAAUGAGCGAUAAUUUUCUUGAGCUAAAA
Molecule: long non-coding RNA, 3890 nt
Organism: Populus trichocarpa (black cottonwood)
Lineage: Eukaryota; Viridiplantae; Streptophyta; Magnoliopsida; Malpighiales; Salicaceae
Exons: 2
Source: RefSeq, a predicted model, not a curated record